UGGGGAAUCUUGCACAAUGGGCGAAAGCCUGAUGCAGCCAUGCCGCGUGAGUGAUGAAGGCCUUAGGGUUGUAAAGCUCUUUCACCCGUGAAGAUAAUGACGGUAGCGGGAGAAGAAGCCCCGGCUAACUCCGUGCCAGCAGCCGCGGUAAUACGGAGGAGGCAAGCGUUAUCCGGAAUCAUUGGGCGUAAAGCGUUCGCAGGCGGCGAUUCAAGUCUGCUGUCAAAGCCCGCAGCUCAACUGCGGACAGGCAGUGGAAACUGAAUGGCUAGAGUGCGGCAGGGGUAGAGGGAAUUCCCGGUGUAGCGGUGAAAUGCGUAGAUAUCGGGAAGAACACCAGUGGCGAAAGCGCUCUACUGGGCCGCAACUGACGCUCAGGGACGAAAGCUAGGGGAGCGAAAGGGAUUAGAUACCCGCGUAGUCC
This 424-nucleotide ribosomal RNA is filed under the name uncultured prokaryote. RNAcentral's name for it is "bacterial SSU rRNA". It matches the Rfam family "Bacterial small subunit ribosomal RNA", at positions 355 to 796 of the family's 1533-position model. The record is from RNAcentral.